UGAUGAGCUUCGGUCGUAAACUCUGUGUUAGGAGACAGUGCUAGUGAUAGCUGCACUGACGUACUACAGAAGCACGCUACUACGUGCAGCAGCGCGUAUACGUAGUGCAGCGUAUCUGACUAUUGGCGUAAAGCGCCGCGCAAGUGGUUUCUUAAGUCUGAUGGUGAAAGCCCACGGCUUCAACCGUGGAGGGGUCAUUGGAAACUGGGAGACUGAGUGCAGAAGAAGGAAAGUGGAUUCCCAUUGGUAGCGGUGAAAUGCGUAGAGAUAUGGAGAACCACCGUGGCGAGGCGACUUUUCUGUUCUGUACUGACCACGAGCCGGGAAGCGUGGGGAGCAACCAGGAUAAAAACCUUGGUAGUCCACGCCGUAACGAUGAGGCCUAAUGGUAGGGGGGUUUCGCCCUUUAGUGCUUGAAGUUACGCCAUUAGCCAUUCGCCUGGGGGGGACCGGCGGCAAGCUGAAAAUUCAAAGGAUUGACGGGGGGCCCGCACAAGCGUUGAAGCAUGUGGUUUAUUCCGAAGCAACGCGAGGAACCUUACAAGGUCUGGCCUUCCUCGGCCAACCUUAGAGUUAGGGUUCCUCUUUCGGGAGCAGAGUGCAAGGUGGUCCAUGGUGGUCUUCACUCCUGGUGUUGGGAUGUUGGGUUAAUUCCCGCAACGAGCCCAACCCUUGUUUUUAGUUCCCUUCAUUUAGUUGGCCAUCUUAAGGGGACUCCCGGGGCCAAACGGGAGGAAGGUGGGGAGGAGGUCAAUUCUUCAUCCCCCUUAUGCCUUGGGUUCCCCACGUGUUCCAUUGGCCGGUCCAAGGAGUGCCAGGACCGGGAGGGGGAGUUAUUUUCAUAAACCCUUUUUCAGUUCGGAUUUUAGGUUCCAAUUGGCUUCCAGGAAGCGGGAAUCCUUGGUAAUCGGGGAUCACCAGGCCGCGUGGAAUACGUUCCCGGCCUUGGUCCCCACCCCCCGCCCCCCCACGGGAGUUGUACCACCGGAAGUCGGUGGGGUACCCUUUGAGCCAGCCGCUAAGUG
Molecule: ribosomal RNA, 1025 nt
Filed under: Bacillus cereus
Lineage: Bacteria; Bacillati; Bacillota; Bacilli; Caryophanales; Bacillaceae
Description: bacterial SSU rRNA
Rfam family: Bacterial small subunit ribosomal RNA
Source: RNAcentral